UUUUUUAAGUCAACUGGUGUUUUAUUAAAACAACGUAAUAUUACAAGGAAAGCCUAAAGAAAAGGCAAGAAAACUUAAACACAAAGAGGUCCAACAACAAAGCCCAACAACACGAAAACGCCAGAAGAGGGCCGAAACAGCGGGACCCAAACAAAAGAGCCCAAAGAAAAAAGGCCUAAAGAAGACGGUGACCAGGCUCAACAAAGCUCCACCACGUGUUAGAUGCAAAGCAAAAGGAAGACACGUGUGAAGGAUCAGAGACGUCACCAACUUCACCGAUAGGAAAGUUAUCGCCGGAGAGUAAUCCACCACCACCGGAACAUACCGGAACAGGAGACCGAAUUACUGAACCAUCGACAACAAACGCUUAACAACUUGAGAAUCAGUAUUUUCCUUCACCGUUAGAGAAGAAGCUCGCCGGAAGACCACCACCGUCAAGAGACGCAACGCCCCAAAACAGAAGAGUCACCACCGUCGCGAAGAUAAAACUAAACCAACGGAUCCUCGCUUCAAAAUAAAACGGAGAUAAGCCAGCCGACAUCACCGAAAGAUCUGGUGUGUCGCCGGAGACGGUAGCCGACUGAUUCACCGAAGAGGCAAGUGAAACACCGGAAACAAAAGCCAGCCAUGAGAUGCUGAAGAAGCCACCUAUGCUGGAACCAUUCCCAAACGGGAAUCAUCUCACCGGAAAGAAGACCGGCGAGCCUACAGACUCUCAUCACAAACUCUCUGUGAAAAGUAUGAAAGAGAGAACAG
RNAcentral lists this long non-coding RNA (756 nucleotides) under Brassica rapa (field mustard). RNAcentral describes it as "long non-coding RNA (BRAP_LNC005703)". The record is from RNAcentral. Lineage: Eukaryota; Viridiplantae; Streptophyta; Magnoliopsida; Brassicales; Brassicaceae.